RNAcentral lists this ribosomal RNA (590 nucleotides) under uncultured bacterium. RNAcentral's name for it is "partial 16S ribosomal RNA". It matches the Rfam family "Bacterial small subunit ribosomal RNA", at positions 355 to 1375 of the family's 1533-position model. The record is from RNAcentral.
UGGGGAAUUUUGGACAAUGGGCGAAAGCCUGAUCCAGCAAUGCCGCGUGUGUGAAGAAGGCCUUCGGGUUGUAAAGCACUUUUGUCCGGAAAGAAAUCCUUGGCUCUAAUACAGUCGGGGGAUGACGGUACCGGAAGAAUAAGCACCGGCUAACUACGUGCCAGCAGCCGCGGUAAUACGUAGGGUGCAAGCGUUAAUCGGAAUUACUGGGCGUAAAGCGUGCGCAGGCGGUUUGCUAAGACCGAUGUGAAAUCCCCGGGCUCAACCUGGGAACUGCAUUGGUGACUGGCAGGCUAGAGUAUGGCAGAGGGGGGUAGAAUUCCACGUGUAGCAGUGAAAUGCGUAGAGAUGUGGAGGAAUACCGAUGGCGAAGGCAGCCCCCUGGGCCAAAUACUGACGCUCAUGCACGAAAAGCGUGGGGAGCAAAACAGGAUUAGAUACCCUGGUAGUCCACGCCCUAAAACGAUGUCAACUAGUUGUUGGGGAUUCAUUUCCUUAGUAACGUAGCUAACGCGUGAAGUUGACCGCCUGGGGAGUACGGUCGCAAGAUUAAAAACUCAAAGGAAUUGACGGGGUCAUAGCUGUUUCCU